RNAcentral lists this non-coding RNA (253 nucleotides) under Nannocystineae bacterium. RNAcentral describes it as "partial 16S ribosomal RNA". It matches the Rfam family "Bacterial small subunit ribosomal RNA", at positions 524 to 776 of the family's 1533-position model. Lineage: Bacteria; Pseudomonadati; Myxococcota; Myxococcia; Myxococcales. RNAcentral also lists the same sequence under 2 other names. The record is from RNAcentral.
UACGUAGGUGGCAAGCGUUGUCCGGAUUUACUGGGCGUAAAGCGCGCGCAGGCGGACUGGUAAGUCUGGGGUGAAAUCUCACGGCUCAACUGUGAGCGGUCCCCGGAUACUGCCGGUCUUGAGGGGCUCAGAGGAGAGUGGAAUUCCCGGUGUAGUGGUGGAAUGCGUAGAUAUCGGGAGGAACACCAGUGGCGAAAGCGACUCUCUGGGGGCAACCUGACGCUGAGGCGCGAAAGCGUGGGGAGCAAACCGG